GCCCGUGUGGUGUAGUGGUUAGCAUUCCACGAGGUAGGAAAACCCCUCAAACAGCGCUGCAAUUAGCGUGUUAGCGUGUUGGAAUUACCCUAUUGUAUUAUUACCUACCUCGUGGGGCCCAGGUUCGAUUCCUGGCAUGGGCA
This is a non-coding RNA of Triangularia setosa, 143 nucleotides long. Lineage: Eukaryota; Fungi; Ascomycota; Sordariomycetes; Sordariales; Podosporaceae. The record is from the annotation of a GenBank genome assembly.